GGGUGGUAAUGCCGGAUGCUCCAGUUGAUCGCAUGGUCUUCUGGGAAAGCUUUCGCGGUAUGGGAUGGGGUCGCGUCCUAUCAGCUUGACGGCGGGGUAACGGCCCACCGUGGCUUCGACGGGUAGCCGGCCUGAGAGGGCGACCGGCCACAUUGGGACUGAGAUACGGCCCAGACUCCUACGGGAGGCAGCAGUGGGGAAUAUUGCACAAUGGGCGCAAGCCUGAUGCAGCGACGCCGCGUGAGGGAUGGAGGCCUUCGGGUUGUAAACCUCUUUUAUCGGGGAGCAAGCGAGAGUGAGUUUACCCGUUGAAUAAGCACCGGCUAACUACGUGCCAGCAGCCGCGGUAAUACGUAGGGUGCAAGCGUUAUCCGGAAUUAUUGGGCGUAAAGGGCUCGUAGGCGGUUCGUCGCGUCCGGUGUGAAAGUCCAUCGCUUAACGGUGGAUCCGCGCCGGGUACGGGCGGGCUUGAGUGCGGUAGGGGAGACUGGAAUUCCCGGUGUAACGGUGGAAUGUGUAGAUAUCGGGAAGAACACCA
Molecule: ribosomal RNA, 538 nt
Filed under: Bifidobacterium longum subsp. infantis
Lineage: Bacteria; Bacillati; Actinomycetota; Actinomycetes; Bifidobacteriales; Bifidobacteriaceae
Also listed under: 1 other name
Description: bacterial SSU rRNA
Rfam family: Bacterial small subunit ribosomal RNA
Source: RNAcentral